GCUCGCGCCUGACUCGCCGGCCGCCCGCGCUCGCGCCCAUGCUCACCGGUCAAACCUGCGCCGCCCGUGCUCGCCAGCCACUCCCACCCGCCGCUAAUCGCAGUCGAGCCUGCAGGUCCAUGGUGAAAAAAGGAUGUAGCCAAAAUCCUCGACGGGCGUAGAAAAGAGUACAGAGGUUGUAUCAAAAAUAGGUCGCCGCCGUCGAGCCUGCAGGUUCAUCAUGAAAAAAGGGAUGUAGCACAAACCAUCAACGGACGUAGCAAAAAUUACAACGGUUGUAGCAAAAAAAUAGGUCGCCGCCGUCGAGCCUACAAGUUCACCAUGAAAGAAGGAUGUAGCAAAAAUCAUCCACAGACAUAUCAAAAAUUACAACGGUUGUAGCAAAAAUAGGUCGCCGCCAUCGAGCCUACAGGUUCACCAUGAAAGAAGGAUGUAGCAAAAAUCAUCCACAGACGUAGCAAAAACUACAACGGUUGUAGCAAAAAAUAGGUCGCUGUCGUCACGGGACGCAGCUCGGCCGUGAAUGAAUGUAGCAAAAUCCGUAGCCGUUUCCAGCAAAAUUCGCCGCCGAUACCAGCAAGAAGGAAAAACGGUUGUAGCACUUGUAUUCCAGUGAAAAGAAAAGUCACCGUUCACCGCACGCAGCUCCCCCGGAGGCCGAUUGCAGCUCCCCGCCAUCCAUGGUUGCAGCUCGAAUUUCGGCCGCAGCUCCCAUGGACGCCGGUCGUAGCUCCCACGAAAACGGGUUGCAGCUCCUGCCGUCCAUGGUUGCAGCUCGCCGCUCCGGGCGUCGGGGGAGAAGAGGAUGCAGUUCCACAUCCAUGGACGCAGCUCCCGCUUGCAUCAGCUCUGGCGUCCUAAAAAAUGCAGUCGCCAGCGCUGGUAUUUUAGACUCAGAGAGAGGGCGGCGGUGGGGAUAAGGUUUGUG
Molecule: ribosomal RNA, 928 nt
Filed under: Triticum aestivum (bread wheat)
Lineage: Eukaryota; Viridiplantae; Streptophyta; Magnoliopsida; Poales; Poaceae
Description: partial small subunit ribosomal RNA
Source: RNAcentral